GGACCCGCACAAGUAGUGGAGCAUGUGGUUUAAUUCGAAGAUACGCGCAGAACCUUACCAACACUUGACAUGUUCGUCGCGACUCUAAGAGAUUAGAGUUUUCGGUUCGGCCGGACGAAACACAGGUGCUGCAUGGCUGUCGUCAGCUCGUGUCGUGAGAUGUUGGGUUAAGUCCCGCAACGAGCGCAACCCUCACUUUUAGUUGCCAUCAUUUAGUUGGGCACUCUGAAAGAACUGCCAGUGAUAAGCUGGAGGAAGGUGGGGAUGACGUCAAGUCCUCAUGGCCCUUACGUGUUGGGCUACACACGUACUACAAUGGCUAGGACAGACGGCCGCAAACCCCGCGAGGGGGAG
RNAcentral lists this ribosomal RNA (354 nucleotides) under uncultured bacterium. Its description in RNAcentral is "bacterial SSU rRNA". It matches the Rfam family "Bacterial small subunit ribosomal RNA", at positions 917 to 1267 of the family's 1533-position model. The record is from RNAcentral.